UACGUAGGGGGCAAGCGUUGUCCGGAAUCAUUGGGCGUAAAGCGCGUGUAGGCGGCUCGGUAAGUCUGCUGUGAAAGUCCAGGGCUCAACCCUGGGAUGCCGGUGGAUACUGUCGAGCUCGAGUCCGGAAGAGGCGAGUGGAAUUCCUGGUGUAGUGGUGAAAUGCGCAGAUAUCAGGAGGAACACCAAUGGCGAAGGCAGCUCGCUGGGACGUGACUGACGCUGAGACGCGAAAGCGUGGGGAGCAAACAGG
RNAcentral lists this ribosomal RNA (253 nucleotides) under uncultured bacterium. RNAcentral's name for it is "partial 16S ribosomal RNA". It matches the Rfam family "Bacterial small subunit ribosomal RNA", at positions 524 to 776 of the family's 1533-position model. The record is from RNAcentral.